GCUGACAGAAGGGCUGGUGAGCUGCUCUGGCCGCAUUACAUGCGUACCAUUCCGUCGUUGUCGGUGGUGACGUUCUCGCCGGAGUGGCAAUUGCUGAAGCAGGCUGAGCUUCUGCCGGAAGUUCCCGGUGCUGUCGCGACCGGUCGGACCGGAUAAAACCGUCUGCCAGUACCGGACUACGCGGGAUAUUCCCUUGCAGCCCCUUCAUCUGGCGGAUGCGCGCCUGCAGACCGAGCCGGACGACGUGCUGUCAUCCGCCUGCGUUUUGAGUGUGCAUGCAAGGUGGACUGGGCGAAAAGCGGGAUUGAUAAGGUGGCCAUUUACCUCGAUGCCGACAGCCCGGUGCCUCGGCCCUGCAUCUGCGCUGACCGCCGGGUGCAUGCGAUGUAUGCCCGCCACGCCGCAACCCGCACCGAACGCAUCCGUUUU
RNAcentral lists this ribosomal RNA (429 nucleotides) under uncultured archaeon. Its description in RNAcentral is "partial 16S ribosomal RNA". The record is from RNAcentral.